RNAcentral lists this ribosomal RNA (458 nucleotides) under uncultured bacterium. RNAcentral describes it as "SSU rRNA". It matches the Rfam family "Bacterial small subunit ribosomal RNA", at positions 26 to 518 of the family's 1533-position model. The record is from RNAcentral.
AGAAUCAACGCUGGCGGCGUGCCUAACACAUGCAAGUCGCACGAGAAAGUGGAGCAAUCCACGAGUAAAGUGGCGCACGGGUGAGUAACACGUGAAUGAUCCACCUCCGAGUGGGGAAUAACUGAGAGAAAUCUUAGCUAAUACCGCAUAAUACCCACGGGUCAAAGCAGCAAUGCGCUUGGAGAGGAGUUCGCGGCCGAUUAGCUAGUUGGCGGGGUAAUGGCCACCAAGGCGAUGAUCGGUAUCCGGCCUGAGAGGGCGCACGGACACACUGGAACUGAAACACGGUCCAGACUCCUACGGGAGGCAGCAGUGGGGAAUUUUGCGCAAUGGGGGAAACCCUGACGCAGCAACGCCGCGUGGAGGAUGAAAUCCCUUGGGAUGUAAACUCCUUUCGAUCGGGAAGAUAAUGACGGUACCGAUAUAAGAAGCCCGGCUAACUUCGCGCCAGCAGCCGC